GAUCCCUUCCUACAACUCAAACCAAUCAAUCAUCUGAAAACCCCCCAGGGAUCUG
Molecule: non-coding RNA, 55 nt
Filed under: Cavenderia fasciculata
Lineage: Eukaryota; Evosea; Eumycetozoa; Acytosteliales; Cavenderiaceae
Source: Rfam by way of RNAcentral